Molecule: ribosomal RNA, 440 nt
Filed under: uncultured bacterium
Lineage: Bacteria
Description: partial 16S ribosomal RNA
Rfam family: Bacterial small subunit ribosomal RNA
Source: RNAcentral
CCUACGGGUGGCAGCAGUGGGGAAUAUUGCACAAUGGGCGAAACCCUGAUGCAGCGACGCCGCGUGAGUGAAGAAGGAAUUCGGUAUGUAAAGCUCUAUCAGCAGGGAAGAAAAUGCCGGUACCUGAGUAAGAAGCCCCGGCUAACUACGUGCCAGCAGCCGCGGUAAUACGUAGGGGGAAAGCGUUAUCCGGAUUUACGGGGUGUAAAGGGAGCGUAGACGGCAGUGCAAGUCUGGAGUGAAAGGCGGGGGCUCAACCCGAGAACUGCUCUGGAUACUGUACGGCUGGAGUGCAGUAGAGGUAAGUGGAAUUCCUGGUGUAGCGGUGAAAUGCGUAGAUAUUAGGAGGAAUACCAGUGGCGAAGGCGGCUUACUGGACGGUAACUGACGUUGAGGCGCGAAAGCGUGGGGAGCAAACAGGAUUAGAUACCCUAGUAGUC